Molecule: ribosomal RNA, 393 nt
Filed under: Fonsecia ewingi
Lineage: Eukaryota; Metazoa; Arthropoda; Arachnida; Trombidiformes; Trombiculidae
Description: SSU rRNA
Rfam family: Eukaryotic small subunit ribosomal RNA
Source: RNAcentral
AAUAGCGUAUAUUAAAGUUGUUGCGGUUAAAAAGCUCGUAGUUGGAUCUCAGUUCACGCUAAGUGGUCCACCGAAUGGUGGUUACUACUUAGCUGAGCAUUUUACAGAUUUGUCUCUUGAUGCUCUUUACCGAGUGUCAAGAGUGGUCUGUACGUUUACUUUGAAAAAAUUAGAGUGCUUAAAGCAGGCAACUCGCCCGAAUAAUCUUGCAUGGAAUAAUGGAAUAGGACCUUGGUUCUAUUUUGUUGGUCUCCGGAAUCUGAGGUAAUGAUUAAGAGGGACAGACGGGGGCAUUCGUAUUGCGCCGCUAGAGGUGAAAUUCUUGGACCGGCGCAAGACGAACUACAGCGAAAGCAUUUGCCAAGAAUGUUUUCAUUAAUCAAGAACGAAAGU